Molecule: transfer RNA, 104 nt
Filed under: Fusarium oxysporum
Lineage: Eukaryota; Fungi; Ascomycota; Sordariomycetes; Hypocreales; Nectriaceae
Description: tRNA-Leu
Source: RNAcentral
UCCGCUUUGGCGCAGUUGGCAGCGUAAACCGCGAUAUCUAGAGGUUCCCUCAAGGGAGCCUGCCUGACGCGGUAGAGUCCAAGGUUCGAGUCCUUGAAGCGGAA